AUGGAGAGUUUGAUCCUGGCUCAGGACGAACGCUGGCGGCGUGCUUAACACAUGCAAGUCAACGAGAAGAGAUGAGAAGCUUGCUUCUUAUUGAUUCGAG
RNAcentral lists this ribosomal RNA (100 nucleotides) under Megasphaera sp. BL7. RNAcentral describes it as "partial 16S ribosomal RNA". The record is from RNAcentral. Lineage: Bacteria; Bacillati; Bacillota; Negativicutes; Veillonellales; Veillonellaceae.